AGAAUUUCCAAGGAUUUUUUUGGGGAUUUCCAGGGAAAUUCUGCGUGAAUUACCAGGGAAAUUCUUCGAGAAUCUCCAGGGAAAAUCUGUGAGCAUUUCCAGGGAAAUGCUGUGAGAAUUUACAAGAAAUUUUUUUUGGGAAUUUCCAGGGAAAUUCUGUGAGAAUUUGCAAGGAAAUUCGGUGAGAAUAUCCAGGGAAAUUGUGUGAGAAUUUCCAGGGAAAUUGUGUGAGAAUUUCCAGGGAAAUUCUUCGAGAAUAUCUAGGGAAAUUCUGUGAGAAUUUCCUGGGAGAUUCUGCGAGAAUUUCCAUCGAAAUUCUGCAAGAAUUUUCAGGAAAUUCUGCGGGAAUUUCCAGGGAAAAUCUGUGAUCAUUUCCAGGGAAAUGCUGUGAGAAUUUCCAAGGAAUUUUUUUGGGAAUUUCCAGGGAAAUUCUGUGAGAAUUUGCAAGGAAAUUCGGUGAGAAUAUCCAGGGAAAUUCUGCGAGAAAUUCCGGGGAAAUUCUGACAAAUUUUGAGGGAAAUUAUGUAAGGUUUUAAGGGAAAUUGUGUGAGAAUUUCCAGGAAAGUUCUGUGGAUACCGUCGCAAUUUGAAGGGAAAUUGUAUCGGAAUUCAAAGGGAAAUUAAGUCGGAAUUUCUAGGGAAAUUCUGUGAGAAUCUCGAUAGAAAUUCUUUAAAAAAUUUCAGAAAUAUUCGGUGAGAAUUUUCAGGGAAAUCUGUCAAAAAUGCAGGGAAAUUGUGUUGGAAUUUCCAGGCAAAUUUUAUAAAAAUUCCCAGGAAAAUUCUGUGAGAAAUUGCAGGGAAACUCUGUCGGAAUUCGCAGGGAAAUUCUGUCGGAAUUUCCAGAGAAAUUAUGUGGCAAAUUCCAGGGAAAUUCUGUGGAAAUUUCCCAUGAAGUUUUGUUGGAAUUUCCAGUGAAAUUGUGUGGGAAUUUCCAGGGAAAGUUUGUGGGAAUUUUGAGGGAAAUUCUGUGGGAAUUUCUAAGGAAAUUAUGUGGGAAUUGGUAUGGAAUUUCGUUGGGAAGUUCCAGGUAAUUCUUUGGAAAUUUCCAGGGAAAUUCUUUGGGGCGUUCCAGGGAAAUUUUUAGGGAAUUUCCAGGACAAUUAUGUGUGAAUUCCCAGGGAAAUUCUGUGGAAAUUCCCCAGGAAAUUCUGUCGGUAUUUCCAGGUAAAUUAUGUGGGAACUUCCAGGGAAAUUAUGUGGAAAUUUCCCAGGAAAUUUUGUUGGUAUUUCCAGGAUCCUGGGAACCGGUUCGGGGACCACCAUGUGGACAAUACUGUAUCCAGUACCAGGCUUGUAAAACAGAUGAAUUCUCUAUGGAAUACUGCAAAUUUGGAUGUGCCAUACAGUCAUGCAAAAUGCGAGCAUUAGCCACAUUUCCAGGUCAAUCUCGAUUUAUUGGACGGCACGAUCAUAGAAAAUGGGUGAAUUGACCACAUUCCGAACCAGUCUCAGGAACCAGUUUUGGCAUGGUUCUACAAAAUGUGAGAAUUGGCCAAAUUUCAGGGGUCCAGGGAACCAGUUCUGGAACCGUCUAGUAGUCAAUCCUGUUUUUGGCAUUUGACAUGACCACUGAUGUAUUUGUCGCAAGAUUCUGCAAAUUUCGAUAUGUCGCACGGCAUGAUCAACGACAAUGUGAGAAUUGAUCUCAUUUCCAGGGUCCUAGGAACCGGUCCCGGGAACCAGUUGCGGAAGCCAGUUCCGCGACCACCAGUUGUUUCAAGAACCAGGCUUGAGAACUGAUGAAUUCUCUAUAAAAUUCUGAGAAAUUUGAUGUGCCGGAUGGCAAGGUCAUGCGAAAUGCGAGAAUUGGCCACAUUUCCGGGGCCUCGGGAAUCGAUUCCGGGACCUUCAAGUGGCUAAUCUUGCCUUUGGCGUCUGAAAUGGUCACUGAUGUAUUCUCUAAAAAAAUCUGCAACUUUUGAUAUGUCGCAUGGCAUGAAUUCACCAAAUUUGUAAAAUGGCCACCCCUAGGGGGUCUCAGGGAACCUCAAUCAUUAUAUUAUAGUAAAAAGGUUUAAGGGAGUUGAAAACACACUGAAAUUAUUUUUCUAAAAAAGAUACACGGAAAGUAAAAUUUUCCAUGAAAAAAAUAUAAAAAAACAUAAUUUAACAAUAAUUAUAAAAUCUCAAAAUGUUUUCGUCUUAAAAAAUCGGUAUAACAAAUAGGGUUUCAGGAAAAAUAUAAAAAUGUACGGAUGUUCAUAAAUAAAAAAUAGAAAAAUCAAAAACCUAAAUUCCCAAAAUCGAGAAUUAAAAAGAAUCAUCUUCCAAAACAUGUUUAACUUAACCCUUCUAAGAUGUUAAGCUAGGCGCACCACGAUGACGUGGUGCACGUUCAGCGAGCCUAUCUGGGUCAUAUUGGCUCCAACAUCAUACUAGGGUUAAAUCGAUUUUAAAUGACAAAAAAUGAUAUUUAGACCAAAAUCCAAAAUUUGUGUAUUAGAGGGUUAAACAUAGCGAGGUUAAUGGUUUCCAUAUAAAAACUGUCGUGUUUUUUAAGGCUAUGCUUGUGUCUUAUGUUUUUUGAUGUCUAAGACAACAUAACACCUUUAGUGGUGUAUGAUUAAUUUUGUGGAAGCUUGCGAUAGAUUUCGUGAUUUUCAUAUGUUUUUGAAAGUUUUGAGUAAUAGGUUUUGACUGACUUUUGUUCCACAGCGAACCACUGUGCAUUGGUCAAUGCGGUGAGUUCAGUCAAUGCAGUCAAUUUUCACGCUACCCAAGUGAAAAUCUAGAUCCAGUCACUUAUAAUUUACUUUGCCUAGGGUAUAACUUUUCUCACAGGCGUCCGAUCACUUUGUAGUCUUCAACAAAGUUGUUUGGCAUAUAGUCACCUACAAUAAUGCCAAAGGGUUUUAUUGUUGAAGGCUUACAGCGCCACUUAGCGGCAAAAAAUCGAAAACUCAAUAUUUCUGCAUACAUUUGGCCAUACAAACUUCAAGCAGUUUGAGCGCCCCCUUAGGCUUAAUCGAUUUUGCUUAAAUUUUGAUCAUAGCUUCUGGGAGUUCAAAACAACCGAUUCAGCAUGUAAGACUUGCCAUUUUUCAAAAUAUUGGUUUUUAAUAUAAAUUUGGGCCACCCUAAGGGUGACGUUGGAUAUUAUCGGCAGGUUUGCUUUCUUCGUCAUGAGGGGUUUUUGUUGACAAAUUUUCCUUGCUCGUAAUUCAGCUUGAUUGGGAAGGAUUGGAGGCCAAGUCUGAGUUCAACAGCUUUAAAAAAAAAACCCCAGACGAAGAGAUCAAAACUGCCGAAAAUACACAAUUUUCCCUAUACCAAGUACAAAAUGUCUUCGUUCCCAGGUAUGGGCGUGACAAGGCGUUCAAAAUGUGCAAAAUCCGGAUCGGACAUCAAUACCUCUUUGAUUAACACGUGUGCCGCUGUCCGAUCACUUAUGCACAUUUUGAACGUCUUGUCACGUGCCUAGACCUGUGCACGAAAACGUAGUUUGUAUACGUCAAAUUCAGCAUAUUGGUAGAUCCGUUUCACAAAUAAUGCUCAAUAGAUCCAAACAAACCAUAGUUACAGCAUUUCAAACUAGGCCAUUUUUUAUGGAAAUCGGCUUUUGUCCGAUGAAUUAUGCUCAACAGUAUAUGCACUCCAAAUACUGUGUUCUUAAAAACCCACGGAAACCCUCUAAAAACCCCUGGAACGCUUCUAAAACCCACGGAAACCCCUGGAAAACACCUGAGUCGGCCCUGGGACCCCCAAAUAUCUCUGACAACCUCUGGAACGCCACUGAAGCCCCUUGAACACCCUGAUGGUAAACCCCUGAAACUCUGGAAAUCUCCUGGAACGCCUCCUGAAACCCGAUAGAACGACCCUGAAACCUUAUGGAAUGCUCCUGAAGCUCCCUGGAACUUCCUUGGGAUCCCUUGAAACCCCCAGGUUAACCCCUAAAACUUUCCAAAACCCGUUGGAACACUCUGGGACAUCCCUAAAACCGCAUAGAAAGUUUCUAAAGCCCCAUGAAAACCACUGGAACAACUCUCGGGAGCCUCUGGAACUCCCUGGAACACCCAUGAAACCCUCCUAAAAUCCCAUGGAACACUUCUGGAACGAGAAUCAAUGGAACACACCUGAUACCCCCUGUAGCUCCCUUGAAAUACCUUGAAUACUUCUGGAGCACAUCUGGGACUCCCUGCAACCUCCUGGAGCAUCAAUGGAACUCUCUAAAACCCUCUGAAACGCCUCUGAAACGCCUCUGGUACGCUUCCAAAAGCCCAUGGAACGCUCUAUGGAACGCUAAUGAAACUCCCUAGAACACCACAUAAUCCCCUGGACCGCUCCUGAAACCCCCUGAAGUACCUCUGAUGGAACUCUUUUGGGACCCUUUGACACCUUUAAGGGUUUCUUCAGGAAUUCCUCUUGGGAUUUUUCCAGAAAUUCAUCCAGGAGUUUUUGCGGAUCUUCCUCUAGGGAUUUCUUUAAAAAAAUCUAUGGAUGCUUUUAGUAAUUUCUCCAAAAAAUCACUCAAACGAUUUGUCCAGGAAUUCCUCAGAGUAUUUCUCUAGGAUUUCCUACGGGGAAAUCUCUUGUUAAUGUUUGAGAAAUUGAUUACGUGAUUUCUUCUAGAAUUCCUGCACAUUCAUAAUUUACUUUACAUUCUCCUAAAUUUUGUUUGGUUUGUUUGGAAAUACCUACACCUAGAAUUUAUACUAGAAUUUCUCAAGCAAUUUCCGUUGGGAUUCCUCCAGGAAUAGCUCCAAAUAUUCCUUCAGUAUUUCACGAAUUUCAUCUGGAGCCCUAACAGAGAUUUCUUCGGUUUCAAUAGACAAUCUACCAAUGAUUAUACUAGGAAUUAGGGUCUUGUACCAUUUGCGCAGGUGUACCUAUUUUGGGCACUUGCCGCUAUAACUCAAUUCCAAACCAAUUGAUUUGAAUUUUUGUAUAGAGUUAGAUUCUGUACGUGCCCAAUAUUAAACAAAAAUUCGAAUCAAUCGGUUUGAAAUUGACUUAGUUAUAGCGACAAGUGCCCAAAAUAGGUACACCUGCCCAAAUGGUACAAGACCCUACUCUGGGGAUUUCUUCGGAGAUUGUAAUAGAGAUUCUUUCACAAAUAACUCAAGGAUUUAUGCGGGAAUUCUUUUGGAAGUUUCUAUAGAAAUUACUAAAUACGUUUUUCACUGGUGCAUUUCAAAAGGUUAUUGGCCCAGAACUUAGUUUGUAUUCGGAGGAAAGAAGCAGAAUCAAGAUGCCAUCAAAUGGAGGAAGCUCCGGAGUUCAUCACGGCGGCGGAAAUGGAAAUUGAGUUGAAGCAGGAAGCCGGUCAUUGAAAAGUUGAAGGGCGUGAAUGUGCCUCACUUUGGAGUGGUAUAACUGUAGCCUGGUUCAGGAUGCGGAGAAUACAGCUGAAGCUUGGAAGAAGCUGGCUGAAGUUUUUUAACAUUCUGGUUUGUCCCGGAAAAUUCCCAAACUUACUUUAAUCCGGCUAGUGAAUUGUUCAGGCGUUGGAGAUUGCGUGAACGACCUCAUGAACACCAGUCAUAAGCUCUCGACGAUGGGAUCCUAAGGGGAUGAUUUCUGGUUGGUGGUGUUUUUGCUGAGAUUAUUACGAGUCUACGUUCAUGGUUCAGAGGCUUCUGGUACCAGGUUAACGACGGAUUCGGUCAAGGCGAAGAUCCUACAGGACCAAAGACAGCGAUGACAAGGCGUUGUACAUUCGCGGGACGGGUUAGUCGGAAAAACCAAACAAGAAACCCAAGACAGAGAAGGUGUGUUUCAACUUCGGAAAGCAAGGGCAUUUUGCUGCUAAGCGCCCAGACCGCAUCAAGUCGAAACCAAAAGGGUUGUGUAGCAUCUUUGCGGUUGAAGAGCUUAAGGUUGAUGGAUUCACCAUCGACUUAACCGUCAUCAUCGGAAAUUCUAGAGCAGUUUUCUCGCUCAAAACUUGAAUAUUUGUCUUGAAAAUGUAUUCAUUGUAAUCCUUUCUACGUCCGUAAUACAGUGAAUACAUUUUCAUUUCGGAAAUUUCAGCCCUGAACGAGAAAACUGCUUUCGAAUUUUCAAUAAUGACGAUUAUGUAAAUGACGAAUCCUUCAACAUUAAAGACAAGGCGUGGUACUUCGACACGAGAGCGACGUACCACAUGACUCAAACAAAUCAAAAAUUCACCAACGAGACGACUUGGAAGCACAAUGUAGGUUCAGCAAACUUACGGUAACGGUAACAUGAAAGCUGUAACCAGAGGUACCAUCGACCUGCGUAACGCGGACGCGGAUGUGUUAAUCAAUGCUCACGGGCGUAUUGAAGACCAUACACUCAGCGAAGUAAACUACCGAAAUUCAUCAAAAUACCUUAUGAAAUUUAGCCAUAACAGUAAAGUAUGGAUGCCAUAAGAAUACCUUAUGAAAAUUGAACAUUAUUAUUAUGACUCAAUUACAUAAGAUAAACUUAUGAAAAGAGCAGAAAAAUCACAAAAUGAUGCAGACUGUAAUCGAUCCAUGACCGUCGAGAUCACUGAGCCCGUGCUCAACCCACACGGCUAUCGACGCUUGAGAAAAUCGUGUUGCUAAAUGUGUAUAAAAGCCAAACUCUGAGUCGAUUCUGCGUCAUAGACCGACCUUAUGAAAAUCGUUCUAGCCGUUAUGAAUUGUUUAAAGGCCAUUUCAUAAGUUAGGCCUUAUGAUAAUCUUAGGUUUAUUUGCCUGAGUGUAGUUAUCGAUGAGUACAAUGUGUAAACGGGGACUUACAGUUGUUUUCUCAGCAGAUAAGUGCAAAGCUCUCGACGAGGAUGACCAGCUGGUUGAGUCUGAAUUUUCAGAAAGAGGACUAUAUCGUCUGAGCCAGCUGGAAAAGACAUUUCUGGCCUAUGGAAUCGAGCUGUGGCUUCGCCGAUUUGGUCAUCUGAACGAGGCAAGUUUGAAGCAACUUUGGCAGUCUUCCGAAAGUGUCGAAUUCUCGAACGAAAGCAUGGUGGAUUGCGUGAUGUGUUUGGAAAGCAAACAAGCCCUUCAAGUGAAAAGAAGUACUUGAGCUCAUGCACUCCGACCGAUGUGCGGACCGAUAGAAGUGUUGUCGUUGGGUGGCAGUCGUUAUUUCGCUACAUUCGUGGACGAAGCUAGUAAGCGUGUCGUUGUGUGCUUCUUGUAGAAUCGAACAUGGACGUUGACCUGCCUUCUCGAAGGAUGGAAAGCUAUUCGAAACAAGUGGGUCUACACGAUUAAACGAGAAAACCGGCGUUGAUUAUGAAGAGGUAUAUUCUCCGGUGGUACGAUACGUCACAACUGGAUACUUCAUGGCGAUGGGACGACGGACGCUAGACCCGAAGUAACUCCGGCCGAUUCAAGCAUCAAACUCAACAAAUCCAUGGCUACCGCCCCGGGCCCCGACAAUCCUUAAUCCGGGCCUGACCAUCUCUCCUUAGCCAAAGGAAUGUGUAUGCCGUAUUUGGUUUAAAUUGGUUGAGACAUUCCUUGAGGAGGACCUGCAAGCACUCGGAGUUUUUCGAGCGACGCGUGCUAAGGACUAUCUUUGGUGGUGUGCAGGAGAACGGAUUGUGGCGGAGAAGGAUGAACCACGAGCUCGCUGCACUUUACGGAGAACCCAGCAUCCAGAAGGUGGCCAAAUCCGGAAGGAUACGGUGGGCAGGGCAUGUUGCAAGAAUGCCGGUUAACAACUCUGCAAAGUUGGUGUUCGCGACAGAUCCGGUAGGCACAAGAAAAGGCGUGGAGCGCAGAGAGCACGAUGGACGGAUCAGGUAGAGCGUGACUUGGCGAGCAUCAGGCGUGACCAAGGAUGGAGAACGACAGCCACGAACCGAUUCAGUUUUAUCUUGAAUUUGAUGUAAUACUAAAUAAAUGAAAUGGGAGAAGGUGCGGUUUUUCUCCGCACGCCAUUCA
Aedes albopictus (Asian tiger mosquito) is the source of this 7835-nucleotide long non-coding RNA. RefSeq lists it as uncharacterized. The transcript is spliced from 2 exons. The record is from RefSeq and is a predicted model, not a curated record. Lineage: Eukaryota; Metazoa; Arthropoda; Insecta; Diptera; Culicidae.